This is a non-coding RNA of Parelaphostrongylus tenuis, 71 nucleotides long. Lineage: Eukaryota; Metazoa; Nematoda; Chromadorea; Rhabditida; Metastrongylidae. The record is from the annotation of a GenBank genome assembly.
GCUCUGGUGGUGCACUUGUAGCGCACGUCCCCAGUAUGGAUGAAACGCGGGUUCGACUCCCGUCCGAGGCC